CCUACGGGAGGCUGCAGUAGGGAAUCUUCCACAAUGGGCGAAAGCCUGAUGGAGCAACGCCGCGUGGGUGAAGAAGGUUUUCGGAUCGUAAAACCCUGUUGUUAGAGAAGAAAGUGCGUGAGAGUAACUGUUCACGUUUCGACGGUAUCUAACCAGAAAGCCACGGCUAACUACGUGCCAGCAGCCGCGGUAAUACGUAGGUGGCAAGCGUUAUCCGGAUUUAUUGGGCGUAAAGGGAACGCAGGCGGUCUGUUAAGUCUGAUGUGAAAGCCUUCGGCUUAACCGGAGUAGUGCAUUGGAAACUGGGAGACUGGAGUGCAGAAGAGGAGAGUGGAACUCCAUGUGUAGCGGUGAAAUGCGUAGAUAUAUGGAAGAACACCAGUGGCGAAAGCGGCUCUCUGGUCUGUAACUGACGCUGAGGUUCGAAAGCGUGGGUAGCAAACAGGAUUAGAUACCCCAGUAGUC
RNAcentral lists this ribosomal RNA (465 nucleotides) under uncultured bacterium. RNAcentral's name for it is "partial 16S ribosomal RNA". It matches the Rfam family "Bacterial small subunit ribosomal RNA", at positions 338 to 795 of the family's 1533-position model. The record is from RNAcentral.